This 253-nucleotide ribosomal RNA is filed under the name uncultured bacterium. RNAcentral describes it as "partial 16S ribosomal RNA". It matches the Rfam family "Bacterial small subunit ribosomal RNA", at positions 524 to 776 of the family's 1533-position model. The record is from RNAcentral.
UACAGGGGGGGCAAGCGUUGUUCGGAAUUACUGGGCGUAAAGGGCUCGUAGGUGGCCAACUAAGUCAGACGUGAAAUCCCUCAGCUUAACCGGGGAACUGCAUCUGAUACUGGAUGGCUUGAGUUCGGGAGAGGGAUGCGGAAUUCCAGGUGUAGCGGUGAAAUGCGUAGAUAUCUGGAGGAACACCGAUGGCGAAGGCAGUGUUCUGGGCCAGUACUGACGCUGAGGAGCGAAAGCGUGGGGAGCAAACAGG